CGCGGUUAUACCAAGUGAUUAAGUUAUAUUUUUAGGUAAAAAGACAGUUAGGUUUAUAUAGUUUUAGUUUAUUAAACAUCUAUAAAAAAGUAAAAUUUGUAUAUAGAUAGUUAAUUCAAAAAUAACUAAUAGUACUGAAGCUGUGAUAGUCUUGAGGGAAACUGGGAUUAGAUACCCCAUUAUUCUUGACUGUAAAUAUAAUUAAAUUUACCAGAGUACUAUGAAUAGUUAAAAAUUUAAAACUCAAAGGGCUUGGCGGUGUUUUAGACCUAUCAGGGGAACCUGUCUCAUAAUCGACAAUCCGCGUAAUAUCUAACCUUAUUUUGUAAUCAGUUUGUAUACCGUCGUCGUCAGGUAACUUUUAAAAACAUAGAAGUUAGCAAUUAAAACCACUUUAAAUUAAAACGUCAGAUCAAGGUGCAGCCUAUAAUAAGGAGAGGAUGGGUUACAAUUAUAAAAUUUAUAAUUACGGAAAUCUAAAUGAAACCUAUUUUGAAGGAGGACUUGAAAGUAAACUAAAAUACAUAAAUAGCUUGAAUAAGGCUCUG
This 548-nucleotide ribosomal RNA is filed under the name Nassarius kraussianus. Its description in RNAcentral is "partial 12S ribosomal RNA". The record is from RNAcentral. Lineage: Eukaryota; Metazoa; Mollusca; Gastropoda; Neogastropoda; Nassariidae.